RNAcentral lists this unclassified non-coding RNA (334 nucleotides) under soil metagenome. RNAcentral's name for it is "partial contains 5.8S ribosomal RNA, internal transcribed spacer 2, and large subunit ribosomal RNA". The stretch from base 1 to 120 matches the Rfam family "5.8S ribosomal RNA", at positions 35 to 154 of the family's 154-position model. The record is from RNAcentral.
GAUGAAGAACGUAGCGAAAUGCGAUACGUAAUGUGAAUUGCAGAUUUCAGUGAAUCAUCGAAUCUUUGAACGCACAUUGCGCCCGCUAGUAUUCUGGCGGGCAUGCCUGUUCGAGCGUCAUUUCAACCAUCAAGCCCUGUGCUUGUGUUGGAGCCCUGCGGCUGCCGCAGGCUCCCAAACCCAGUGGCGGGCUCGUCGUCGUACCGAGUGCAGUAAACAUACCACGCUCAGGGCACGCGACGGGUGACCGGCCGUAAAACCCCCCCCCUUCUCAAGGUUGACCUCGGAUCAGGUAGGAAUACCCGCUGAACUUAAGCAUAUCAAUAGCGGAGGA